Molecule: non-coding RNA, 1140 nt
Organism: Schizosaccharomyces pombe (fission yeast)
Lineage: Eukaryota; Fungi; Ascomycota; Schizosaccharomycetes; Schizosaccharomycetales; Schizosaccharomycetaceae
Source: the annotation of a GenBank genome assembly
AAAAAAGCUAAACUAAAGUCUGAGGAGACCCCCCAAACAAAGAUAACUGAAAUAGAGGAGUAGUGAGCAAAAAUAAAUAAACGGAAUUAUCUCAAACAAGUUUUUAGAGAAAGAGGUAAACGGUAUGAACAUUCAAAAUUUACUUGGGUGAAAUAGAAACUACUCGUUAAUAGUAAAGAACUCAAAAACCAGGAGCACUUAGACAUAUUAAAAUCACACUGAUUGGUGAAAUUUAUAUAAAUCUCUAGCAAUCAAAAGGAAUAAGGCAUCACUUUAAGUAGAUGAGGGAGCAGUGGUAGAGCUUGAUGCAGUGGGACGGCUUUGAGCAGUACCUACAGGUGAAGCACCGAACUUGGACACAUAAGUUUUGAAUGUAUGCCAAGCAUUUUUGAUAACAGGAGGAACUCUGUUAUCUGCAACCAAACGAUCCAUUCGAAGGCUAACGGCUUUAAUGGAUGCACGAGUAAAGUGACUAUUAGUGUAUCUCAUGCGAAGAAAGAAAAUAUAGCCCACCAACCUGGAAAUUGAGUUUUUACGUAAGAAAACCCCAAAGAACAAACGGAACAAUAAAAAUGUUUCGAGAGAAGCAACAAGUUGCAUAGCAGGUUGAAAUUGGCUUCGAGUGUACUGAUUUAGCAAAUUAGAAACACGAGAAGCAUAAGACGCAGUUUUCGCGUCAGAAAUAUUAGGGUAAAUGGCAGGCAAAAGCACACUACGCAAGUAAGUGGAGAUGUGGAAAGUGGCGUAAAUGGCAUAUGGAGCGAGAGAAAAUAGGAUGGGACGAUCAAUCAACAUUGAAAGAGCUAAAAUAAAAUACUGAACAUUGUCAUCGAGCAUAAGACGGGCAAAGAAAUGCUUAUUCCAAGAAGCACGGGAAGUCAAGUUUGGACUAUAAGUUUUGUAAAGGACAAUUGCAUAUGCAACGAUGGCACCAAAGGCAGCGCUUUUAAACAAAAAUGGAGGAGCGGAACGAAAAGGGAUUGCUUGAAGAGCAUACAAGACGGAAGAGAUUAGCACUAUUACUUGCCCCGAAAACCAAACAAACUGGGUGUUCUAUAAUAAACGGUUAGUAAUGUAUUAAAAGAGUGAAGACAAUAUGACACUGAAUCAAAAUAAAAUAAUGCUGACAAAUUAGUCUAU